Molecule: unclassified non-coding RNA, 431 nt
Filed under: soil metagenome
Description: partial contains 5.8S ribosomal RNA, internal transcribed spacer 2, and large subunit ribosomal RNA
Rfam family: 5.8S ribosomal RNA (bases 1-119)
Source: RNAcentral
GAUGAAAACGCAGCGAAAUGCGAUACGUAAUGUGAAUUGCAGAAUUCAGUGAAUCAUCGAAUCUUUGAACGCAUAUUGCGCUCUCUGGUAUUCCGGAGAGCAUGCUUGUUUGAGUAUCAGUAAACACCUCAACUUCCAUAUCUUUUUUGAAAUGGGAGUUGGACUUGAGUGAUCCCAACGCUUUUCCUCACCGAAAAGUGGCGGGUUACUUGAAAUGCAGGUGCAGCUGGACUUUUCUCUGAGCUAUAAGCAUAUCUAUUUAGUCUGCCUAAAAAACAGAUUAUUACCUUUGCUGCAGCUAACAUAAAGGAGAUUAGUUCUUGUGCUGACUGAUGCAGGAUUCACAAAGACAGCUUCGGCCGACUUUGUAAACUCGAUCUCAAAUCAAGUAAGACUACCCGCUGAACUUAAGCAUAUCAAUAAGCGGAGGA